Long non-coding RNA from Archocentrus centrarchus (flier cichlid), 158 nucleotides. RefSeq lists it as uncharacterized. Lineage: Eukaryota; Metazoa; Chordata; Actinopteri; Cichliformes; Cichlidae. The record is from RefSeq and is a predicted model, not a curated record. The transcript has 3 exons.
AAGGGAGAAAAAUCAAGACCAUCCUGGCACCCAUAACCCAGAAUGAAACUAUUGAAGUCAGAAGAGAAUACAUCCUCAAAGGUCUCUGCAUGUACCUGAAUGAAGACCCAGAGAAGCUGGUGAAGGAAUACCUGGAUGUCAAUGAAGGUGCUCAAACG